UUAAACCUCGUUAUCAUUACCUGCCAAAUUGGAACGAUACAGACAAGAUUAGCAUGUCCGCUGCGCAAGGAUGACACGCAAAUUCCAUAUUUCAGACUUUCAAAACAUUU
Molecule: small nuclear RNA, 110 nt
Organism: Carcharodon carcharias (great white shark)
Lineage: Eukaryota; Metazoa; Chordata; Chondrichthyes; Lamniformes; Lamnidae
Source: RefSeq, a predicted model, not a curated record